UACAGGGGUCUCAAGCGUUGUUCGGAUUCAUUGGGCGUAAAGGGUGCGUAGGUGGCGCCAUAAGUCAGGUGUGAAAUCUCGGGGCUCAACCUCGAAACUGCACUUGAUACUGUGGUGCUGGAGUACUGGAGAGGAGAUUGGAAUUUACGGUGUAGCAGUGAAAUGCGUAGAUAUCGUAAGGAAGACCAGUGGCGAAGGCGGCAUCCUGGACCGAUAUUGACGCUGAGGAGCGAAAGCUAGGGGAGCAAACGGG
This 253-nucleotide ribosomal RNA is filed under the name uncultured bacterium. RNAcentral describes it as "partial 16S ribosomal RNA". It matches the Rfam family "Bacterial small subunit ribosomal RNA", at positions 524 to 776 of the family's 1533-position model. The record is from RNAcentral.